UUCUCAAUCUGUAUAAUGGGGGUAAUAUUGGGUAAUGCACUAAGCGCCAUGUCAGGAAUGUAGUUAGUGUUCAAUAAACGUUUAUCUUUAUUACUGCGAAACCUCAUUCUGCCAUUACCUUCUUUGUCUUCCUCUCCCAACCCCCCAGCUUCAUCAUGGCCUAUGAACAGCCAAAGGGUAAAAUGAUCAGAAAACUGGACAGUUUUUGACAGUCUACUAUUUUCAGAGAAGAGAAUGUCCCAGCUAGAAAUGCAAGUGGACGAGUGCCAACCCGAUGAGGCCAAUGAUUUGCGAGUGGAGACCUCUGAGGAACUUGGACCCUCGCUGAGUCCCCUCAGCCUCUUCACUUGCUUCUGCAUGGCCCGUCCUGUCAGUUAUUUCAGCAAUCCCUCAUCACCUUGACCUCACCGCCUGCCCCUGGGGACAAUCACAAGAGGACUCCAUUUGACUCAGUCCAGCUGCCGCCUUCUCUGUCCUGCCUGAAGCAGCUGAGCGCUGUUGAGACCACACGGCCUCAUGGAUCUAGACGGGCAUGAGCUCCCAGCCUCUGCUUCAUCCUUGGUGCUGCCCGGAGCUUAUUCCAUUUCUAGUCCUCUCGUAUUUUAAAUAUGAAGCCAGAAUACAGCCAUGGAACUGCUUCUCCCUUAGAGCCUCCAGUAGAAACUCACCCUGCCAACACCUUGACUUUGCACUUCCAGCCUUCUCAACUGAGACAGAAUACAUUUCUAUUGUUAUAAACCAGGGAGCCCUAGGAACCCAAUACACCAACUUUCAAGGGCCUCAUCCCACUGACGUCCAAGCAGGCCUGGAUCUAUGUAUGUGUUGUCUCAGUUCUGAAAGCUCCCAUGAGCCUGCAGAGAGACUGCAGGGUCUUCCUGAAUCGUGCCUGAGGAUGAGAGGGAGACUUAGAGGAUUGCCCAGAUAUUGUUCCACCAUUUUUCUAAACUCUGCUGGCCUCUCCCCCUCCCCCAAGAAGGCUUCCUGCUAA
This 988-nucleotide long non-coding RNA is filed under the name Pan paniscus (pygmy chimpanzee). RNAcentral describes it as "lncRNA (ENSPPAG00000044219.1)". Lineage: Eukaryota; Metazoa; Chordata; Mammalia; Primates; Hominidae. The record is from RNAcentral.